GAAAGUAAAAGUCGUAACAAGGUUUCCGUAGGUGAACCUGCGGAAGGAUCAUUAUUGUAUAACCGAGGUGCGAGGGCUGUCGCUGACCCGAAAGGCCGUGCACGCCCGAGUGCCCUCACACACAUCCAUCUCACCCCUAUGUGCACCACCGCGUGGGUCCCCCUUUGGCUUGUUCGGAGGGGGGCUUACGUUUUCACACAAACUUUGUAUGCAGUGUAGAAUGUAUUUUUUGUUUUUGCGAUCACGCAAUCAAUACAACUUUCAACAACGGAUCUCUUGGCUCUC
Molecule: unclassified non-coding RNA, 285 nt
Filed under: plant metagenome
Description: partial contains small subunit ribosomal RNA, internal transcribed spacer 1, and 5.8S ribosomal RNA
Rfam family: Eukaryotic small subunit ribosomal RNA (bases 1-54)
Source: RNAcentral